RNAcentral lists this ribosomal RNA (255 nucleotides) under uncultured bacterium. Its description in RNAcentral is "partial 16S ribosomal RNA". It matches the Rfam family "Bacterial small subunit ribosomal RNA", at positions 1245 to 1500 of the family's 1533-position model. The record is from RNAcentral.
AGAAGCAAUACCGCGAGGUGGAGCAAAACUUCAAAAAUAGGUCUCAGUUCGGACUGUAGGCUGCAACUCGCCUACACGAAGUUGGAAUUGCUAGUAAUCGUGGAUCAGCAUGCCACGGUGAAUACGUUCCCGGGUCUUGUACACACCGCCCGUCACACCAUGAGAGUUGGGAAUACCCGAAGCCUGUGAGCUAACUUAUAGAGGCAGCAGUCGAAGGUAGAAUCAAUGAUUGGGGUGAAGUCGUAACAAGGUAAC